CUUUAAAAUUGUGUUGAACAUUAUAACAUCUUGGUGGCACUGUACAAUUUUGGUAUUUGUUUUUCAUUGAUGAUACCUAGUGACCCAAUUAAUUUUUGAUUAUUUACAUAUUAAAUAUUACUCAUAAGGCCAUAACCCAUUUUCAUUUUUUCCUAAAGCGUUGUUAAUUUUGUUAUAAUUGUCUAUGAAAAUAUAUGUUCGUUAUUUUGCAUUACCAUAAUGAGAAUAAUUUAUUAAGUGAGUACUUCAUAUUUAAUAUGAUUUAUUUCUAUAAUUCGUGUAUGUCUGAGCCAUGUUUUUAGUUAUUCCUUAUUUUUUACAUAGGUGGUUUUAUAGUUAGAUACUACCCAGAGUACUAGGUACUUACCCUGCAAAUUCUGUAGUUAAAAAUGAAAAUUUGACUUGCAAGUUACGUAACAACAUAACUAAAUUUAUUUCAUACAGUGGUGCACAAAGUCAUUUUUUAAAUGUUAUACACAAUGUUUAAUUUAUUAGUACGAUUAAGUUAAAAAAAUCAAUUUACUAUUGAAGUAGGUAGGUACACCAAUGAAUUCUUACAAAACUUAAGUACUUGCUUAAUAAUAAUAGGAAGUAUAAUAGAAAAUUGAAUAACAAAUUGCAAUGUAUUAAUAUAUAAAAUUAUCUUCUAUAUUAUCAACAAUUUAGAAUUAGGAAAGAAAAGAAAAAUGUACUAACGACUUUUAUAGGUGAUAAUUUAAUACAUUUUGUAAUUCUAUGUAAGCAUGUAAAAGGUGCAGGACGAUAAUGAAAAAAUGUUUGUCUUUUGAAAGGCAUAAACCUUUUUUUUUUAUUGGGGAAGUGUUACGGGGUGUCUGCUUAUUCCCUUUUAAAUAUUAUAGUAUUAUAUUAUACAGCGAAGCAAUCGAGUAUUAUAUAAGUAUAGGCCACAACUUUAUUUAUGAAGUCAAAUUAAAUGGGCGAUAGUUGUUCGUUAUCAAAGCCACAUUCUCCGGAUAGGGACAGGUCGUUUAAAUUCACCUCAGCUGCUGCUAAUCUUGGGUGCACCAAAUGAACCAGGCAACUAUCUACUAAGACUGGCGCAUAUGAACAACUGUGAAUAAAUUUUUUUUUUUUUUUAUAUAUGUGGAGUGGGGUAGAAUAAUAUUGUUAUUCCUAAUUACUCAUUAUUUGUUAAAGAAAAUAUAACACAAAGUUUAUGUUAAUAAGUUAUAUUUUUGAUUUGUUAUAUCAGUAUAAACUUUAAAAUCCUAAACCUGUAUAAUUUUGAAAACAGCACUUAAAACAUAUCUGCGUUAUGCCAUCAAUAUUGUCUGUGUAUAAAAUUAUGAUGGGGAUGGAUAUUAUAUUUUUCGUGGGAACAAAUUGUCCUAGAUCGAAUAAUAACAAUUACUUAUUACAUUAUGUAUGUUCAUGACUUUGCUUAUGUAAAGACAAAGGACUUAUUUUUUUUGAUCCAAUGGGUGAUUGGGAUAUCAUAGGUUCAAAACAUAAACAUUGUAAACCUAAAUCACUAAUGAAUAGAUAUAUUUUUAAGCAAGGAUAUAUAGAGAAACAGGGAGUUCAUUUUGGGGUUCUGAAAUGGGUAUCACACCAUGUAGGUAGCUACCUAAUGAUCCAAAAUUUCUCAAAAGAAGGACAAUUUUGUCAAGACUCAUUUAUCCGAUUAACCACCUUCUCAGCAUCAAUUCAGCUAAUACAAGUAUUAUAUAAAAAAAUUAUUUGUGUACAAUUUAAAAAAAUACACAUAAUAUUUACUUACAAUAAAUCGUGAGUUCAUUCUUUUUUAAAGAAAUAUUGUACUUGUCCUCAAACCAUUUUUUUUGUCAAAUAAAUUACAACAAUGUUUGUAACAUGGGUAGUUUUCAUUAAUUUUUUCUAAAAGUAAUGCGUGCCACUGAUUUGAUGUAUUCAAAUUCAAAUCAAACAAGUUUGAUGAGAUAAUGAUAGUGACUUUUAAAGUUCUAAUCAGUUAGAUAUAAAUCUUAAUAGAAAUAUUUGAAUAGUACCAAAUUUAGUGAUAUUACGAACAUUGAUUUUUAAAGUUGAAUUUAAAUUAAUAUUUUGUAUUUGUACCCGAACCAACAAAAUAUUCAAAUAUUUUAUCAAAUUUAAAACAAGUUGGUACUGGUUUAGUUGUCAUCCACCUACGAAGUAAUCUUCUACCAUUAAGAUUUAGUUGAAGUCCGUUACUUUUAUAUCUUUUAUUUUAACUCUUCAAUGCCCAUUGUAAUAAAUAUAUAACAUGUUAAAACAUACUAUGUUUCCCCAAUACAUAUGAAUUACAAAAAAUGCAUUGCGCUGUCUAACGUAUAAUUUAAGUUCUAAUCUAUGUUUUUUAUCGAUACACGCAUGCAAACGUUAUCAAUUUCCAUUUUGUAAUGCAAUCUAAUUUUUUCAAUUAAAGUUUUUAUUUUCUUGUCUUUCAAAAUGUGUUUUGAGUGAAAAAUACUAUUUUAAAUCAUGAGAGAUGAAACUGAAAAUUAUUAUAAGGUAUAUAUGAAUAUUUUUAGUUAUUUAUAACACAAAUAAUUAAUAACUCAAUAGUUUACUUAAGUUUAUUUUAUUUUUGUAAUUUAGUUAUAAAAAUACAAUUUUUUUUUCCCAAAUUCAGCGCACCAAAAUUUGUUGAGGAUAUUUUUUAUGUGAAAAAUUUUAGGCAUUGAAGAGUUAAAAUUAAAAAUAAAGAAUAAAUGUCAAGAGUACUUAAUUAUUCAAUAAUUUAAAUUGAUGUAUUAUAUUACAAAAGUAUGAAAAAUUGGAUUAAAUUAUGUAGGUAUAACAUUAACUUCUAAAAAAAAUUAUUGCCUAAAUCAUCUUGUACAUCAACUAUACACUUAUUGAACAUUCAAAAUCGUAUGAAUGUUCAAAAAAUAGUGCAUUAUUCUGUGUAUUUGAUGGAAAAUAUUGAUAUUUUUUAUGUAUAUUUUUAUUUAAACCUAACUGAACAUACCAGGUUUGGUUCCAUUCAAAAGUUAAACAGUUCGUAACAUUACUAUUAUGUAGGUACCUACUUAUUUAAUAAUAUUAACACAUUUUUAAUAUUUAUCUUCUAGGUUCCUUAUUUAAAUGUUAAAUCAAAAACAAUGUGAUGAAUCAAAUAUUUAAGAUGCUGCCGAAUUGAAUAACUACAAAUUAAAAUUGAAAUUAUUUCAACUUUGAAUUUUUAGAUUUACCUAUGUUAUUUAACCUCUGGACCUUAAAUUGUGUUUUUGGAUACCUAUACUAAAGGUAAAUUAUAUAAUUAUAGUUUGUUGUAUAGCUGUUGUUAUAGUUGUAUAGCAACUACUAUAAAAAUGGAUAGUGAAUAAAAUAUAUAUUAAUAAAUAAAAAAAUCUCGGUUUCUACAUUUUUAAAAUUAUUAUUGUUAAGUACCCCUAGUCCUAAGAUCAAUAAUUAAUGAUCUUUAUUUCAUAAUUUUUUUUCCUUUUUCUUAUAACAAACACCUUAAAUAUAAAUUUUGGUUUUAGUUAAAAUCAUAUUCUAAAAAAUUAAAAAGUAUUUUUAUUUUUUCAUUACUUGUUAGUACAUAUUAUCUUAAUAAAAAAAAUAGUGUCAAUGUUUCAAAAAAAAUUAAAAAUAAGAAAUUAAUGUGAUUUAAAAACAUAAUGUAUAUUUUGUAUUAUCUGCUAAGAAAUGCAUGCACUAAAUGAUUGGAAUAUAUAUAUAUAUAUACAAAUACACUAAACAAUUUUGUCAUAAAUAUAAAUUUAAAGAAGUAAAAAAAGAUGGACAAUUUAAAUAUUAACUACUUAUAUUUACCUAAAUAAUAACAGUUACAAAUUAAGGAUUUUAACAGAUAAAAAUUAAUCCCUGAAUUAUUUUUUUUUUAUUUUUUUAAAAGUUAUGUUGUACAUUUAUUAAAGAAAGCCAUCAAGAGAUAUUUUGUAAGAUGUAUUAUUGAUUCUUGUCAUGUCAAUAAUUUUCCAAAAUUAAGGGUAGUCUUUUAUAAUUUGUGUUUCUAGAUAAAUUGUUAUAUAUUUAUUAUAAAGUAUGAUUUCUUUUUAAUUUAUUUUGGACUUGUACUGGUUAUAUGUAACUUAUAUAGUUAUAACGUUCACUAUUUUCAUUAAAAUUUGAUUUGAAUAAUUAUUAUAAAAAAAAAAAAAAACAUUAAACUAAUUUUUUUUUACUACUAAGUAUGACUUAUAAUAAACCUAUCAAAUUUUCAAUCAUUUUUGUUAAGUCUAACAGUUUAUGUACUUACCAAAUAAAAAUAUAACUCUAAUUUGUAAUUACAAAUUACUUUUGUAAAAUAUCGUGUUAUUUCUUCUAUUUUCGGGUUUUGCUCAGUUAUUAAUAAAACUACAGAAAAAAAUCAAUAAACAAAUAACUUGCUCAUGAACUAGAACUGGAUUAAAAAUGCAACAGAAAAAGUCUCUUGUCGUUUAUCUAUUGGAACAAUAUUUAUGGUAGAAAACAUAAGCCAUAAAAUUGUAAAGUAAUGAAAUAUUGUUGUACUGUAAUUUAAAAAAACAAAUUGUAAGAAACUUAGAGAGGCACUAAUAUAAUAAAUAAGAAAAAAUGUAUUGAAGAAACUGGUAAUAUGACCUUUACUGGAAUAAAUACACACAAGUGUAAAUAUCAAAGGGGAAAGUAAUUUAACGCCUGUUUUCAUUAACUACUACCUUUAUGCUAAUAAUGAACCCCCAGUCAUAGUAUUUUGGAAUGAUACUGCGGACAAACCAAUAUUAGAAUGGUUAAGAGUCCGGUUAUCUAUAAAAUGCUAAAUUUAACAUACAGUGAAAACACAGACAAUAAGCUAUAGAAAUCAGACAGGACCUUAUUUACAAAGUAUAUAGGCACCGUUGCCAAAAAAGGAAAGAUACUGAAUCCAAAAGAGACUCGACUUAAUUUGCUAAAAAGACCAGGGUAUAAAGCACUAUCACAACCAGGAUAUAGUACUAACAAAAUGUGUAUUUAAUUAUAUGAUAUGGACUUCCCAACCUAACUAUAGACUUAACUAACUAUAAAGACUAUAUAGACUAAAUAAAUUGACAAUUUAUAACAAUAAGUUAUAAUUGAGAUGUAUAUAUAUAAAAAAAAGAAAAACUGUGAUAUUAUUUAAGUACCUAUAAUUAAAAUAAGAAUGUUUCAGAUAAUGAAUAAGAUGAUUUAUUGAAAUACAUAAAUUAAGAUGCUGGAAGGUAGCAAGUUAGAGAACGUGUUGGUGCACCUAAUAGGAGAAAUAUGGUUGUCACAGCACGGUAUUUUGGAAACAAACAGAAGAAGAAAUGUCGAACCACUGUUUUCCCUAUCAUUUGAUAAUGGCUAACAGUAACUUAGAGCAGCCACCGGUUAUGUCCUAGCUGCCACUUAUAGAUGCUAGUAUAGGGUAACAUAAGCUACUUGACAACUUUCCUCUGCUAUGGCAUAGCAGACUAUAUAAGGGAGAAGCUAAGGGAAGGAUAUUUUCGUAACAUAGAAAUAUAGUUUUAUUUUUUUGUGGAUAAAUAAAUUAAAAGGGAAAAAUAUAUAUAAUGAUUAAAUAUAGUAUAAAGUAAAAAAAAAUUUACAUGGUGAUAAGAAUCAAAAAUAUAAAAAAAGAAAUAAUAUGUUUUAGCUGUUGGACCAUAAGGAGCCUGGAAUUUUUUAGGAAAUUUGUAGUUAUACUACGAAAAUAGGACACAAUACAACAUUAUUGAGAGGGGAGAUAGAAAUAGACUGUUUCAAGACACAUUUUGUAUAUGCAAAUACAUGAUUGGAGAAACCGUACAAUAUACCAAGUUUACUAUACUUAUUAUAGAAAAUUUUGACUUGUUACUCAAUGAUACCAUAUUUAAAGGUCUCAAACUUAUUAGACAUAAUACUAAACUAUACACAAGAACGUGUAAAUGAACUAUAAAAACAUUUUUAAUAAUAAAAUAAUAAAAAAUAAAAAAAAAGUAUAAGGUAAAAUUUGGACAUAAUUAGUUUAUAAAUAUAUAUUGGAAGUGGGAAUUAACUAAAUUAGAAUAUAAUAAUUAGCAGAAGACAAGUAAUAAGGAAUGAUAUGUUUUAGAGAGUACAAUGCCAAGAGGGAUUGCAAAUUUUUAUCGAAACUAAUAGAAUUACUAAGAAAAAGAAGACAUAGAGUUACAAUUUUUGCAUACGACAUUAAAUUCAGGUGUUUGAGUAGACACAUGAUAGAAAUAAAUCUAGAUAUAGAUAACACAUAUCCUGGACGAGAGUUACAGUUAAUGUAUAAGAAUAUGAUUGACUUUUUAAGAGAGUUUUGAAACACCUUGUACGAGGAUAAGAAAAUUGCUUCAGGGGUUUUUUGUGAUACAUGAGGAUUUCACAUAGCAUGUAGCACGCAAAUAAUAAUACAAAAUAUAAUAUAGUGGGAUUAUUUUAAUAAGCUGUGGGAAGUUAAUUUUAGAGUUUAAUAUUGAGCAAUAUUUUCAUUUAUUACUUGUAAAAAAAAGAGGUAUGAUAGAAAAUUGAAUAACAAAUUUCAAUGUAUCAAUAUAUAAAAUUAUCUUGUAUACUAUCAAUAAUUUAGAAUUAGGAAAGAAAAGAAAAAUGUACUAACGACUUUUAUAAGUGAUAAUUUAAUACAUUUUGUAAUUCUAUGUAAGCAUGUAAAAGGUGCAGGACGAUAAUAAAAAGAUUUUUGUCUUUUGAAAGGCAUAAACCUUUUUUUUUUAUUGGGAAAAUGUUACGGGGUGUCUGCUUAUUCCCUUUUAAAUAUUAUAGUAUUAUAUUAUACAGCGAAGCAAUCGAGUAUUAUAUAAGUAUAGGCCACAACUUUAUUUAUGAAGUCAAAUUAAAUGGGCGAUAGUUGUUCGUUAUCAAAGCCACAUUCUCCGGAUAGGGACAGGUCGUUGAAAUUCACCUCAGCUGCUGCUAAUCUUGGGUGCACCGAAUGAACCAGGCAACUAUCUACUAAGACUGGCGCAUAUGAACAACUGUGAAUAAACUUAGCGCAUAUUCUCACCCAACCCAGAUGCAGAGGCACCUGAGGUUAUUACUCGACUGAGUAAUAACAUGUUGUUGUACAAAAGUGCAGACUAAGUAUCUUUAGCUGGAGGGCCCAGAGUGUAUAUAUUGGCUACCGAUUUUGAGAUGAGGCUGAGCACUCAAUGGCAAGCACCUUCACGCCAGAUAGAAUUGCAAAUUUAAUUAAAAAGUGUUAGAAUAUAUUUCAACUUAUAUAUAAAUACUUAUAAAAUAUUGUGUUCACUCAUUUAACUUAUACCUGACUGAGUUUGAUAAUAUACCCACAACAAAAAAAAAGAAAACCUUCCAAACAAAAUGGAACAAUCCUGGUACAAUUCAACCUUUAUUAAAUUGUACCAACAUUGUUAUAGACUAAUACUUAUGACACUUGAUCUAUGGUAAAUUAGGUAAGCAAUAUCCUUCCAUUGGAAAAAUAUUUGAUAAUCCACACCACUACAAACAAAUAUAUAGGACUGUAGUCCACUGAAAACUUAAAAUUGUUAAAUGCUUAGGAUUCUAUCAACAGAUAUAAGGGUAAACAUAACAAGUGCUACAGUACCUACUUGGUCCUAUUCUAUUUAUUGAUGUGUUAUUGAAGUUUAUUGCAAUAAGUCUCAAUACUGCGCCAUGGAGGGGUAUACAGCACCUAAUUAUUGUAUGGUUAUGUUAUUGUGUACCUAAUAUACCUAUAUUUUUCGUGAAAUAUUAUUAUUAGAUGAAAUAAAUAUGAAUAAAUAAAAAUUUUUUUAGUCAUUCACUACUUAUAGUAAUUUUCAUUUGUUGUAAGUUUUCAAAAACAAAUCUUUAAUAUAGAGUAGGUAAUACCACUAGUAAUACAUUUUAGCAGUUAAGUACCUACCAAUUACAAGUAAGUAAUAUAUAUUAUAAUAUAAUAUAAUAUUAUUAGGUAUAUAACUACUAUAGAGUUAAUACUGUACCUAACUCACAAAAC
This 7852-nucleotide long non-coding RNA is filed under the name Cinara cedri. The record is from RNAcentral. Lineage: Eukaryota; Metazoa; Arthropoda; Insecta; Hemiptera; Aphididae.